GAUGAACGCUGGCGGCGUGCCUAAUACAUGCAAGUCGAGCGAACGGACGAGAAGCUUGCUUCUCUGAUGUUAGCGGCGGACGGGUGAGUAACACGUGGAUAACCUACCUAUAAGACUGGGAUAACUUCGGGAAACCGGAGCUAAUACCGGAUAAUCUUUUGAACCGCAUGGUUCAAAAGUGAAAGACGGUCUUGCUGUCACUUAUAGAUGGAUCCGCGCUGCAUUAGCUAGUUGGUAAGGUAACGGCUUACCAAGGCAACGAUGCAUAGCCGACGUGAGAGGGGGAUAGGCCACAUGGGAGCUGAGACGGGGUCCAGGCGCCUACGAGAGGCAGCAGAAGGGAACCUUCGGCAAUGGGCGAAAGCCUGGCGGAGCAACGCCGCGUGUGUGAUGAAGGUCUUCGGAUCGUAAAACUCUGUUAUUGGUGAAGAACAGAUGUGUAAGUAACUGUGCACAUCUUGACGGUACCUAAUCAGAAAGCCACGGCUAACUACGUG
Molecule: ribosomal RNA, 497 nt
Filed under: uncultured bacterium
Lineage: Bacteria
Description: partial 16S ribosomal RNA
Rfam family: Bacterial small subunit ribosomal RNA
Source: RNAcentral